UGAGCUUGAUCCUGGCUCAGGAUGAACGCUAGCGGCAGGCUUAACACAUGCAAGUCGAGGGGUAUAUUUCUUCGGAGAUAGAGACCGGCGCACGGGUGCGUAACGCGUAUGCAAUCUACCUUUUACAGAGGGAUAGCCCAGAGAAAUUUGGAUUAAUACCUCAUAGUAUAUAGACCUGGCAUCAGGAUUAUAUUAAAGUCACAACGGUAAAAGAUGAGCAUGCGUCCCAUUAGCUAGUUGGUAAGGUAACGGCUUACCAAGGCUACGAUGGGUAGGGGUCCUGAGAGGGAGAUCCCCCACACUGGUACUGAGACACGGACCAGACUCCUACGGGAGGCAGCAGUGAGGAAUAUUGGACAAUGGGCGCAAGCCUGAUCCAGCCAUGCCGCGUGCAGGAUGACGGUCCUAUGGAUUGUAAACUGCUUUUAUACGAGAAGAAACACUGCUUCGUGAAGCAGCUUGACGGUAUCGUAG
This 474-nucleotide ribosomal RNA is filed under the name Flavobacterium sp. 01WB03.4-64. Its description in RNAcentral is "bacterial SSU rRNA". It matches the Rfam family "Bacterial small subunit ribosomal RNA", at positions 1 to 483 of the family's 1533-position model. The record is from RNAcentral. Lineage: Bacteria; Pseudomonadati; Bacteroidota; Flavobacteriia; Flavobacteriales; Flavobacteriaceae.